RNAcentral lists this ribosomal RNA (465 nucleotides) under Vreelandella stevensii. Its description in RNAcentral is "partial 16S ribosomal RNA". It matches the Rfam family "Bacterial small subunit ribosomal RNA", at positions 338 to 795 of the family's 1533-position model. The record is from RNAcentral. Lineage: Bacteria; Pseudomonadati; Pseudomonadota; Gammaproteobacteria; Oceanospirillales; Halomonadaceae.
CCUACGGGUGUCAGCAGUGGGGAAUAUUGGACAAUGGGGGCAACCCUGAUCCAGCCAUGCCGCGUGUGUGAAGAAGGCCCUCGGGUUGUAAAGCACUUUCAGUGAGGAAGAACGCCUGGUGGUUAAUACCCAUCAGGAAAGACAUCACUCACAGAAGAAGCACCGGCUAACUCCGUGCCAGCAGCCGCGGUAAUACGGAGGGUGCGAGCGUUAAUCGGAAUUACUGGGCGUAAAGCGCGCGUAGGUGGCUUGAUAAGCCGGUUGUGAAAGCCCCGGGCUCAACCUGGGAACGGCAUCCGGAACUGUCAAGCUAGAGUGCAGGAGAGGAAGGUAGAAUUCCCGGUGUAGCGGUGAAAUGCGUAGAGAUCGGGAGGAAUACCAGUGGCGAAGGCGGCCUUCUGGACUGACACUGACACUGAGGUGCGAAAGCGUGGGUAGCAAACAGGAUUAGAUACCCUAGUAGUC